UGGGGAAUAUUGGACAAUGGGCGAAAGCCUGAUCCAGCCAUGCCGCGUGUGUGAAGAAGGUCUUCGGAUUGUAAAGCACUUUAAGUUGGGAGGAAGGGCAGUAAGCGAAUACCUUGCUGUUUUGACGUUACCGACAGAAUAAGCACCGGCGAACUCUGUGCCAGCAGCCGCGGUAAUACAGAGGGUGCAAGCGUUAAUCGGAAUUACUGGGCGUAAAGCGCGCGUAGGUGGUUCGUUAAGUUGAAUGUGAAAGCCCCGCGCUCAACCUGGGAACUGCAUCCACAACUGGCGAGCUAGAGUUGGGCAGGGGGUGGUGGAAUUUCCUGUGUAGCGGUGAAAUGCGUAGAUAUAGGAAGGAACACCAGUGGCGAAGGCGACCACCUGGGCUCAUACUGACACUGGGGUGCGAAAGCGUGGGGAGCAAACAGG
Molecule: ribosomal RNA, 429 nt
Filed under: Pseudomonadota bacterium
Lineage: Bacteria; Pseudomonadati; Pseudomonadota
Description: Proteobacteria bacterium partial 16S ribosomal RNA
Rfam family: Bacterial small subunit ribosomal RNA
Source: RNAcentral